RNAcentral lists this non-coding RNA (658 nucleotides) under Brugia timori. RNAcentral describes it as "Eukaryotic large subunit ribosomal RNA". It matches the Rfam family "Eukaryotic large subunit ribosomal RNA", at positions 1319 to 1956 of the family's 3401-position model. The record is from Rfam by way of RNAcentral. Lineage: Eukaryota; Metazoa; Nematoda; Chromadorea; Rhabditida; Onchocercidae.
UGGAUGGCGCUUGAGCAAAAUACUUAGACAAUACCAUAUAUUUAUUUUUUUUUAAAAAAAAUAUAUGUGUAGGCUGGCGUGAUAAUAGCAUUGAAGGUUAUAAGCGUAAGCUUGACUGGAGCUGUUAUUAGUGCAGAUCUUGGUGAUAGUAGCAAAUACACAAGUGAGAAUCUUGUGGACCGAAGUGGAAAAGGGUUUCACGUCAACAUCAUUUGACUGUGAGUUAGUCGGUCCUAAGCUAAAAUUGAAAAAUUUUUAUUCAUAUAUAGCGAAAGGGAAAUAGAUUAAUAUUUCUAUACUAUCUAUGGAGAUAAUAUAGGAUAAUAACUAUAUUAUGCAUGGUAACAUAAAUGAAAUUAACUACAAUAUAACAAGUUUUGGGUAGAGAUAUCUUCUCUAUUUAAGUUAUUAAAUCUAUGGAAAUUGCUCAGCAAGAGAUAUAGAUGAAAUUUUAACGUAGAGUACUAACAUUUUGUUGGUAUCCAAAGUGCUUGUUAUAUUACUUAAAAAGUUAAUGGAAGCAUAAUAAAUUUCAUAGAAUAACCGUACCCAUAUCCGCAACAGGUUUCCAAGAUGUUUAGUCUCUGGUCGAUGAAAUAAUGUAGGUAAGGGAAGUCGGCAAAAUAGAUUCGUAACUUUGGGAAAAGAAUUGGCUCUU